This 986-nucleotide ribosomal RNA is filed under the name uncultured cyanobacterium. Its description in RNAcentral is "bacterial SSU rRNA". It matches the Rfam family "Bacterial small subunit ribosomal RNA", at positions 471 to 1456 of the family's 1533-position model. The record is from RNAcentral. Lineage: Bacteria; Bacillati; Cyanobacteriota.
GACGGUACUUGAUGAAUAAGCCACGGCUAAUUCCGUGCCAGCAGCCGCGGUAAUACGGGAGUGGCAAGCGUUAUCCGGAAUUAUUGGGCGUAAAGCGUCCGCAGGCGGCCUUGUAAGUCUGUCGUCAAAGCGUGGAGCUUAACUCCAUUUAAGCGAUGGAAACUGCAAGGCUAGAGUGUGGUAGGGGCAGAGGGAAUUCCCGGUGUAGCGGUGAAAUGCGUAGAUAUCGGGAAGAACACCAGUGGCGAAGGCGCUCUGCUGGGCCAUAACUGACGCUCAUGGACGAAAGCCAGGGGAGCGAAAGGGAUUAGAUACCCCUGUAGUCCUGGCCGUAAACGAUGAACACUAGGUGUCGGGGGAAUCGACCCCCUCGGUGUCGUAGCCAACGCGUUAAGUGUUCCGCCUGGGGAGUACGCACGCAAGUGUGAAACUCAAAGGAAUUGACGGGGGCCCGCACAAGCGGUGGAGUAUGUGGUUUAAUUCGAUGCAACGCGAAGAACCUUACCAGGGUUUGACAUCCUGCGAAUCCCUUGGAAACGAGGGAGUGCCUUCGGGAGCGCAGAGACAGGUGGUGCAUGGCUGUCGUCAGCUCGUGUCGUGAGAUGUUGGGUUAAGUCCCGCAACGAGCGCAACCCACGUCGUUAGUUGCCAGCAUUUAGUUGGGCACUCUAGCGAGACCGCCGGUGAUAAACCGGAGGAAGGUGUGGAUGACGUCAAGUCAUCAUGCCCCUUACAUCCUGGGCUACACACGUACUACAAUGCUACGGACAAAGGGCAGCAAGCUCGCGAGAGUAAGCAAAUCCCAUAAACCGUGGCUCAGUUCAGAUCGUAGGCUGCAACUCGCCUACGUGAAGGAGGAAUCGCUAGUAAUCGCAGGUCAGCAUACUGCGGUGAAUACGUUCCCGGGCCUUGUACACACCGCCCGUCACACCAUGGAAGUUGGCCAUGCCCGAAGUCGUUACUCCAACCCUUGUGGAGGAGGACGC